AAGAAGCAGGAAAUAGGAAGCAGAAAGCAAGAAGCAGGAACUAGGAAGCAGAAGGCCUUCAUUCUUUCGAGGAACUCACAGAGUUGAGUAAAAGAGGCUCACAGGGCCACCACCGGUAAUCCCACAAAGUAUACAGGAAGUUUCCAUCUCAAUGGCCAUCUUGUCUACCUUGAGGAGAUGCUGUCAACAAUACAGAAGAUGCCUUCUAAGGCAGAUUGGUUUGCUCACUAUUGCAGUUGGCAAAGAUACCAGAAGACUACACGUAGCAUGCGUCUAAUAUGGCUUUAGGUGCUUCUGUGACUAAGGUAAGUGUGUACCAAUAACAAACAUUCUACUUCUGUCAUAUGAACAACACGAUUUUCUUAGCUAGGCCAGGUCAGGCCUAACAGUCCAAAAGGAUGAGACACCGUUUGUUUAGUGACAACAAAGUUAACCAGUGCUCUGAGACUUAAUGAGAAGGUAGUGAUAAGAACUCAGUCUGUCUUUAAGUAUUUCCUACUGAUAUUAAGACUUUUUUUCCUUGUGAAAACGUACACUCUGUUUUAAAGCAUGUCGCUCAGUGCCAUUAGGUAACCACACAACCAUCACCACUACCUACUCCUGGAACUUGCCAAAACUGCAAUUUUGUUCCCAUAAGACACCAAGUGCCUGCCUCUUCCUCAGCCCUUGGUAGUUCUAUGAAAGUGACUACUCCAGAUGCCAUAAAGAUUUACUAUUCAGUGAUGGGAGGUUUCACUCAGCCUAGUGGUUCGCAUGUGGGUAGCUACAGUCAAAUAUGUUUCCUUUAUAAGGCUGAAUGCUACCCCAGCACACGGCAUGUCUGCUCAUUUGCCAAAGGAUGUUUGGAUGGCUACUAGCUUUUAGCUUUUGCAAAUGACUGUGCUGUGACCGUGGGCCUUUAUGACCCUUCAACUCUUUGAGAAGUAACCAAGAAUGACUUCCUUUUAUAAUUAGAGACAGUAGGCUGCACCGUGGGGCCUUAGCACAGCACCUUAGAGCGUUGCAUGAAGCCUCAAAAAAAAAAAAAAAAAA
RNAcentral lists this small RNA (1032 nucleotides) under Rattus norvegicus (Norway rat). RNAcentral describes it as "uncharacterized LOC108352014". Lineage: Eukaryota; Metazoa; Chordata; Mammalia; Rodentia; Muridae. The record is from RNAcentral.